ACUUUCGAAGACAAGAAGAAGCCGGAAAGUUUCAAGGCAGAGAGCCGUUCGCCUCAGUCAGCCCUGUCCUACUCUUCAGUCUCAUCUCGCUGGAAUAGUGUUGUCAUGUGUGAAGAUAUACACGAAAUUGAGACUUCUGCUGCACUGUUCGAAGUCUGUAAGAUCAGUGCUGAAUUCAAAAGAAUAACCACAGUUCCCCUGCAAUCCAAGCAACUGUUGCUGAAUUGGCUGAUUUGUACAAGAUGCACCAUUUCUGAGGACUUCUGGCACAGUGGCCUGCACUGUUCAAAGUUUGCAAGAUCAGUGCUGAAUUGAAAAGAAUCACCACAGUCCCACUGCAAUGCCCUGCACUGUUCCAAGUCCACAAGGUCAUGGAUGAAGUUGCCGUAGACGAAGCAAUUGAAGACAUCACUAUUGGAAUCUGCUCUGACAGAAGAUUGGGCAUCCCACCCUUAGGACAUUGUCAGUUUUAGUGUAUGUCUGUCACACACGUGACACCCAAUCGGAAAGGACUCUUUUUUUUCAGCAACUAAAAAACAGCAGUUAUUUUUGUUUCUUUAAGUGAAAUGUACCUUUUUUCUAGAGAUCAAUUUGCUUGUAUGCACUUCCAGCUCCUUGCUGGUUUAAGAAUAGUACUUGAGUGUGCAUAUGUUUUGUACAUACUGUGUUGAUUUUGACCCAAACUAAAGACAAACAAAAUACCAAGACUAGACUUAAAUAAGA
Molecule: long non-coding RNA, 723 nt
Organism: Engraulis encrasicolus (European anchovy)
Lineage: Eukaryota; Metazoa; Chordata; Actinopteri; Clupeiformes; Engraulidae
Exons: 6
Source: RefSeq, a predicted model, not a curated record